AGUUUGAUUAUGGCUCAGAACGAACGCUGGCGGCAGGCCUAACACAUGCAAGUCGAGCGCGCCCUUCGGGGUGAGCGGCGGACGGGUUAGUAACGCGUGGGAACGUACCCUUUGGUAGGGAAUAGCCACUGGAAACGGUGAGUAAUACCCUAUGAGCCCUUCGGGGGAAAGAUUUAUCGCCAAAGGAUCGGCCCGCGUUAGAUUAGGUAGUUGGUGGGGUAAUGGCCUACCAAGCCUACGAUCUAUAGCUGGUUUUAGAGGAUGAUCAGCAACACUGGGACUGAGACACGGCCCAGACUCCUACGGGAGGCAGCAGUGGGGAAUCUUGGACAAUGGGGGCAACCCUGAUCCCAGCCAUGCCGCGUGAGUGAAGAAGGCCUUAGGGUCGUAAAGCUCUUUCGCCUGUGAAGAUAAUGACGGUAGCAGGUAAAGAAACCCCGGCUAACUCCGUGCCAGCCGCUGC
RNAcentral lists this ribosomal RNA (463 nucleotides) under uncultured bacterium. RNAcentral describes it as "bacterial SSU rRNA". It matches the Rfam family "Bacterial small subunit ribosomal RNA", at positions 10 to 518 of the family's 1533-position model. The record is from RNAcentral.